Molecule: ribosomal RNA, 329 nt
Filed under: uncultured eukaryote
Lineage: Eukaryota
Description: partial 18S ribosomal RNA
Rfam family: Eukaryotic small subunit ribosomal RNA
Source: RNAcentral
CCCUUAGAUGUUCUGGGCCGCACGCGCGCUACACUGACGAUGGCAACGAGUUUUUCCUUCGCCGAAAGGUGUGGGUAAUCUUUUGAAACAUCGUCGUGCUGGGGAUAGAUCAUUGCAAUUUUUGAUCUAGAACGAGGAAUUCCUAGUAAGCGCGAGUCAUCAGCUCGCGUUGAUUACGUCCCUGCCCUUUGUACACACCGCCCGUCGCUACUACCGAUUGAAUGGUUUAGUGAGGACUCCUGAUUGGCGCCGCCGCCCCGGCAACGGAGCAGCGGACUGCCGAAAAGUUGUUCAAACUUGAUCAUUUAGAGGAAGUAAAAGUCGUAACA